Molecule: ribosomal RNA, 253 nt
Filed under: uncultured bacterium
Lineage: Bacteria
Description: partial 16S ribosomal RNA
Rfam family: Bacterial small subunit ribosomal RNA
Source: RNAcentral
UACGUAGGGUGCAAGCGUUGUCCGGAAUUAUUGGGCGUAAAGAGCUCGUAGGCGGUUUGUCGCGUCUGCUGUGAAAACUCGGGGCUCAACUCCGAGCUUGCAGUGGGUACGGGCAGACUAGAGUGCGGUAGGGGAGACUGGAAUUCCUGGUGUAGCGGUGGAAUGCGCAGAUAUCAGGAGGAACACCAGUGGCGAAAGCGGCUUCCUGGUCCAGCACCGACGUUCAGGCACGAAAGCGUGGGGAGCAAACAGG